Molecule: long non-coding RNA, 313 nt
Organism: Micropterus salmoides (largemouth bass)
Lineage: Eukaryota; Metazoa; Chordata; Actinopteri; Centrarchiformes; Centrarchidae
Exons: 3
Source: RefSeq, a predicted model, not a curated record
GUGAGGGGGAGGAGAGGAGGAGAUGGAGGCCUGGGAGCCCGUCCUGCUGCCCUGAUUCUCCACCUUCAGACGGUCAUUCUCUGCCUUCAGCUUCUCGAUCUCCAUCUGCAGAAACACACAAAUGCACAGAUGAAACCUGCAUGCGGUUCAUGGCCUCCCGGAGCUGGUCCAGCUGAUGAGCAGAGCUGAGAGCCUCCAGGCGGAUAUCAGAUAAGACAGAGCUCCCAGUCCUGCAACUAUGAGGUGAUGAGGUCUACGUACAGUGAGUUGGAGUGCGUGUUCCUUAGCAUGUGGCUGGAGGCUGCGGUGCCGU